Molecule: ribosomal RNA, 253 nt
Filed under: uncultured bacterium
Lineage: Bacteria
Description: partial 16S ribosomal RNA
Rfam family: Bacterial small subunit ribosomal RNA
Source: RNAcentral
UACAGGGGGUGCAAGCGUUGUUCGGAAUUACUGGGCGUAAAGCGCGGGCAGGUGGCCUUUUAAGUCCUUUGUGAAAUCCCGGAGCUCAACUCCGGAUGUGCAUAGGAUACUGGAAGGCUUGGGACUGGUAGAGGCGAGCGGAAUUCCUGGUGUAGCGGUGGAAUGCGUAGAUAUCAGGAAGAACACCGGUGGCGAAGGCGGCUCGCUGGGCCAGAUCCGACACUCAUACGCGAAAGCGUGGGGAGCAAACAGG